UGAACAUACAUCACUACCUUGACUCUCUGGAUCAAGACCCUGCUUUUGAACAUGACUGGAAGGAGGGGGAUAUUUUUAUUGAUGAGGUGUGUGUGCUCAUGGAGUCAUGGCAGCUGCAAAAGCCUAGGCUCCUGCAAGAAGAAGAAUGAUAAUUAGCAGGGGAAGUCUUUGGUACAGCAACAAGACAGCAGAUCUACAUCGUCCUCCAUCAAGUUCUGUCCAUUAUGAAGAACCUCAAGACCCUCUUGUUCUCUCAGGCUUUUAAUUAGAAUUAAUUUGAAUAAUUUUAAAAAGUUGUUUUAAGAAUGUUAUUCUAUUGUUUUUAUUGUCAUGUAUUUUAAUUUGUGACUUCUAAAUAUUUUAAAUUUUGUACACUGCCUAGAGACAUACAUAUCAGGCGGUAUAAAAAUAUGAUAAAUAAA
Molecule: long non-coding RNA, 422 nt
Organism: Hemicordylus capensis (graceful crag lizard)
Lineage: Eukaryota; Metazoa; Chordata; Lepidosauria; Squamata; Cordylidae
Exons: 3
Source: RefSeq, a predicted model, not a curated record